CCUACGGGUGGCAGCAGUGAGGAAUAUUGGUCAAUGGACGAGAGUCUGAACCAGCCAAGUAGCGUGAAGGAUGACUGCCCUAUGGGUUGUAAACUUCUUUUAUAUGGGAAUAAAACGUUCCACGUGUGGGAUUUUGUAUGUACCAUAUGAAUAAGGAUCGGCUAACUCCGUGCCAGCAGCCGCGGUAAUACGGAGGAUCCGAGCGUUAUCCGGAUUUAUUGGGUUUAAAGGGAGCGUAGGUGGAUGGUUAAGUCAGUUGUGAAAGUUUGCGGCUCAACCGUAAAAUUGCAGUUGAAACUGGCAGUCUUGAGUACAGUAGAGGUGGGCGGAAUUCGUGGUGUAGCGGUGAAAUGCUUAGAUAUCACGAAGAACUCCGAUUGCGAAGGCAGUUCACUGGACUGCAACUGACACUGAGGCUCGAAAGUGUGGGUAUCAAACAGGAUUAGAUACCCUAGUAGUC
RNAcentral lists this ribosomal RNA (460 nucleotides) under uncultured bacterium. RNAcentral describes it as "partial 16S ribosomal RNA". It matches the Rfam family "Bacterial small subunit ribosomal RNA", at positions 338 to 795 of the family's 1533-position model. The record is from RNAcentral.